Vombatus ursinus (common wombat) is the source of this 962-nucleotide RNA transcript. It is a transcript of the gene named small integral membrane protein 9, with no coding region annotated. The record is from RefSeq and is a predicted model, not a curated record. Lineage: Eukaryota; Metazoa; Chordata; Mammalia; Diprotodontia; Vombatidae. The transcript has 5 exons.
GAUAAGGAGGGGAUCCCUGUUGAGAAAGAGGACACUGGCUUCUCUUUGUGGUCGAAGAGCUUGAAAGGAGAGUGAAUUGAGUAUAAUUCACUAAAUGAAUGAAUCCCCUACUUGGAAAGUACAGUGUGAAAGGAGGCAAGCCUCACCUAGCUGGGAUUCAGUCCUGUUUAGGCUCUGUUGUCAGAGCAACACAGGAAUGUUUGGUAACAAAGUCAAUGACCUCACAAAGCUCAAGGGCAAACUGGAGCCAGAGUGGGAGAGGACCUGAGGGUAGAGGAAGACCACCAUCAGACCUUGUCUUGGGAGAGCUCUUAUCACUCCAAGUCACUACUGAGACCAACAGAACAGCCUAUGCCAUACUUGAGAGGAAACUGAGCCUAUGUCAAGAGGAUAAACAUGAGGCAGUUUCUGAUCAACAACUGCCUUCUGCUAUUAUACCUGACCAUCUUGAUUUGUUGCUACCCCUACAUGGAAUCUGCUGUCCAUUCGCCACCGCCAAGCUUUGACACAGGUUUCAAAGAGAGAGUGGCCCGAAAGCCACUCCUGAGACAGAUCCUGUCUCUCAAGACUGGAAGUUGGAGAAGCUCCCAGAUGUCCUCCUUCCUGACUGACCUCUGGACCAACGUCAUGGACUUCUUUCCACGGUCGGCUAUUUAUGCUUUUCUGGUUUCCUCUGCGAUUAUAUCCUUUCUCUUCUGCCUCACGAAUGAAAGUCUCUCUUGGAGAAGGGUGGAGGAAGAAGAGGUAGGAGAUGUCUAUUUUGCCUCCCUAUGAGCCACACAUAACAGCCCUCACCACAGGAUUCUUGUGGAAGAUAGAAGCUCCUGAGAAUAUCCCAGAAAAUUUCUCAAAGUUCACUGCAGAGUCCAAAUUUGUCUUCCUGGGUCCUCAAACAAAGAAAACAGUUGUAAGGCUAUAAUGUCUUUCAAUUCUCUGCAUUAAAUUCAAUAUUUGAAAAUAAA